CUUUCAGAACGUAAUUUUCAGAAAGUUCUAGAACUUCAGGCAUGGAUAAGCCCUUUAAAGAUCAUCUACUCCAGCCCUGCUGUUGCUUACAUCCUCUUUACAGCAUCCUCACCCAGUGACCAUUCGGCCUGGGCCUCAAUGCCUCUCCUGAUGAGGAAUUUGUCACCUUACCACGAAAGCCCCAUCUUUGGACACCUCUGCUGUUGAUGAUUACAAUAGUGAUCAUUUUGUUUGUUUGUUGUUGUUGUUGUUGUUGUUUGAGAUGGCAUCUCGCUCU
RNAcentral lists this long non-coding RNA (277 nucleotides) under Homo sapiens (human). RNAcentral describes it as "HSALNT0140831". The record is from RNAcentral. Lineage: Eukaryota; Metazoa; Chordata; Mammalia; Primates; Hominidae.